GAUGAACGCUAGCGGGAGGCUUAAUACAUGCAAGUCGAGCGGGAUUCUCCUUCGGGAGAUGAGAGCGGCGCACGGGUGAGUAACGCGUAGGAACGUACCCCAAACUGAGGGAUAACUGCUCGAAAGAGUAGCUAAUACCGCAUGUGAUCUCCGGAUUAAAGCUUCGGCGGUUUGGGAACGGCCUGCGUACGAUUAGAUAGUUGGUGAGGUAAUGGCUCACCAAGUCGACGAUCGUUAGCUGGUCUGAGAGGAUGAUCAGCCAGACUGGGACUGAGAACGGCCCAGACUCCUACGGGAGGCAGCAGUAGGGAAUUUUCCACAAUGGGGGCAACCCUGAUGGAGCAACGCCGCGUGCAGGAUGAAUGCCUUCGGGUUGUAAACUGCUUUAUAUGUGACGAAUAUGACGGUAGCAUAUGAAUAAGGAUCGGCUAACUCCGUG
Molecule: ribosomal RNA, 439 nt
Filed under: uncultured bacterium
Lineage: Bacteria
Description: bacterial SSU rRNA
Rfam family: Bacterial small subunit ribosomal RNA
Source: RNAcentral